GGUGGAAGAGCGAGAGCCCCGGCCACACGCGCGCCGGCCUUGCAGCGGCGGGCGGCGGGUUGUGCACGGCCGCCUCCGAUACUGGCCCGUUGUCAGGCCGCUCGGCUCAGUCUCUUCAGUCGGAGAGCGUUAGCAUCGUGGCGUUGCGGAGGUACUCGUCGAGGGCGCUCCGGCUGCCGGUGUCGCGUCGGUGGCGGCGGACGGUGGCGCGCAGGCGGGCCGCGUGCGAGACGAGGGCGUCGUAGAAGGCGGCGCAGGCCUCGGGCAGGUGGCGCGCGAGCGGCAGCCAGAGGUUGAGCGGCCACAGCAGCGGCGCCGACACCUGGAACACCUGCAGGAAGCCCCUCGCCGCCACGAACGCCACCAGGUGGAUCCCCAUCGAUCGACGAACGACUGGACCGACGGCUGCAAUACUAUCCUCGCCGGCGCACGCACGCACGCACGCGCACCUGUCUCGCUCGCCAACGAGACGAAGAUUCUUCCCGCUCCCGCAAGCAAUAAGCCUCUCCUCCGUGCGAUCUGAUGAGCUGAGCCGCUGGUGGUGGUGGACGAGAGAGGAAUUCU
RNAcentral lists this long non-coding RNA (564 nucleotides) under Sorghum bicolor (sorghum). RNAcentral describes it as "long non-coding RNA (SBIC_LNC011465)". The record is from RNAcentral. Lineage: Eukaryota; Viridiplantae; Streptophyta; Magnoliopsida; Poales; Poaceae.